CACGUAGGGCGCAAGCGUUGUCCGGAAUUAUUGGGCGUAAAGAGCUCGUAGGCGGUCUGUUGCGUCUGCUGUGAAAACCCGGGGCUUAACCCCUGGCUUGCAGUGGAUACGGACAGACUAGAGUGCGGUAGGGGAGAUUGGAAUUCCUGGUGUAGCGGUGGAAUGCGCAGAUAUCAGGAGGAACACCAAUGGCGAAGGCAGAUCUCUGGGCCGUAACUGACGCUGAGGAGCGAAAGCAUGGGGAGCGAACAGG
This 253-nucleotide ribosomal RNA is filed under the name uncultured bacterium. RNAcentral describes it as "partial 16S ribosomal RNA". It matches the Rfam family "Bacterial small subunit ribosomal RNA", at positions 524 to 776 of the family's 1533-position model. The record is from RNAcentral.